This 521-nucleotide ribosomal RNA is filed under the name uncultured bacterium. RNAcentral's name for it is "bacterial SSU rRNA". It matches the Rfam family "Bacterial small subunit ribosomal RNA", at positions 355 to 893 of the family's 1533-position model. The record is from RNAcentral.
UGGGGAAUAUUGGACAAUGGGGGCAACCCUGAUCCAGCAAUGCCGCGUGAGUGAUGAAGGCCUUAGGGUUGUAAAGCUCUUUCGGCGGGGACGAUGAUGACGGUACCCGCAGAAGAAGCCCCGGCUAACUUCGUGCCAGCAGCCGCGGUAAUACGAAGGGGGCGAGCGUUGUUCGGAUUUACUGGGCGUAAAGGGCGCGUAGGCGGCUCUGAAAGUCAGAUGUGAAAGCCCCGGGCUUAACCUGGGAAUUGCAUUUGAUACUCUGGAGCUGGAGUACGGGAGAGGAGAGUGGAAUUCCCAGUGUAGAGGUGAAAUUCGUAGAUAUUGGGAAGAACACCGGUGGCGAAGGCGGCUCUCUGGACCGUAACUGACGCUGAGGCGCGAAAGCGUGGGGAGCAAACAGGAUUAGAUACCCUGGUAGUCCACGCCGUAAACGAUGUGCGCUAGACGUUGGAGGGCUUAGCUUUCCAGUGUCGCAGCUAACGCGAUAAGCGCACCGCCUGGGGAGUACGGUCGCAAGA